This is a long non-coding RNA of Cloeon dipterum, 1938 nucleotides long. RefSeq lists it as uncharacterized. Lineage: Eukaryota; Metazoa; Arthropoda; Insecta; Ephemeroptera; Baetidae. The record is from RefSeq and is a predicted model, not a curated record. The transcript is spliced from 3 exons.
UGUAAGAUCUGUAAAUAUCCAUAGCCAAUUUAUUUUCAUUAAAUUCUUUAUAUUUCAGCUCCUCGGUUGCGAAAUGAAAUUUUGUUUGAGCUCCUGAAGCCAAGGUUCAUUCGUCAUGGGCAAGAGCAGAUAGAUGAGUUUAAAAAUAGAAUGAAAGCUUUGCCAUGUCUGCUUAACUCGAUGACCAAACAAAUCAACUUGUGUAGUCUUUAUAGAUGUUUUCCAGAGGAUUUGAAGGAGGUUUCCAAGCUAAGUGUAAUCAUUCUAUUAUUAAAGAGCGACUUUGAAGAAGUUUCUGAGCCCAGCAAUCGAUGAUUCUUGAGGGUCGAAUUAGGUAAAGUGGAUCUUAUUUUCCAGACUAAAAAGUCUAGCACGACGUUCCAACUAUUUUUUCCGCCAAUACAAUAUGAAGCUCUGCGCAUGCGUGAGAGCUAUUUGAGCACUUGCAAUGAAUGACUUCUUUGUCAGCUCACGCAUGCGCACUUCUCGCAUAAACGUUCAUAUUGAUUUGGCGGGAAAAAAAGUUCGCACGUCGCGCUGGACUCUUUGCUGGAAAAAAUAUCUACUUUACCUAAUUCGACCCCCAAGAAUCGAUUGGUUUGCUCAGAAACUUCGUCAAAGACGGUCUUUAAGCAGUGUGUGAUUUAAUAUUUUUCUAUAUAAUUCAAGGUCUUCGAUUGGAUCGCUGAAAAAGCUCCAAAUAUGGAAGUGCUUGCUUUCACCUUUAAAGGAGCAGUUGUGAGCAAACCUAUCGUGCAAUCAUUGAUCAGAAUGAAGCAACUGCGAAGUUUAUGGCUCGUCGGUGGCAUCCUGCGCUGGCAAGACUUUGUGGAGAUUUGUAAAAAUUUGCCCAAUCUCAUUCAAAUUAAAUUUUCUCACUUUGAUGAAUCUGCCGAUUGUAUCCGCCUUCUCGAGAUGAAAAGAAACCUCAAAGACAUUUCCCACCUCAAAAGCAUAACUUGUGGAGAAUUAUGCUGCCGAAUUAUGGAACUUUUUGAAAGGCAUCUGCCCGAUUUUCAAUGGUGUUGCGAAGGACCACUCACCACUAAUCAUGCCAAAGCGUUUGAUCUCGACGGAAACAACAAAAAAACAGCGACAGCGCGUUCAUUCAUGCACAGACCUUUGUACCAUCGCCUCGCCAAGGAGAUUCCUGCCAAGUUCCCAAAUAUAGUGUCAUAUCAGAUGGACUGUCAUGAAGAGAAAUACGAAGAUUCUCUCCUUCAACAUCUGCCGGAUUUUCGGGUACUUCAGAAUUUGCGCUUUGCGGGGCUGAAUGAUCCGCAAAUUUUGUACCACGCUUUGGUGAAGUACGGUGGAAACUUGCGAAAGGUCACCGUUAUCGGGCACAGAGAGCCAAGUUUAGAUAUUAAACGCAUUUUUGACCUCAGCCCCAAUUUGGAACACCUGGAACUGGUAGGGGUCCGCCUGAUCAACCAUUCAGGUCAGAUUAACCACUCGAGGCUCAUGAAACUCUCGCUGGUGAACACAAGAUGCAACAAAAAAUCCGAGAUUCUACUGGCUCCGCAACUUCAGGUGGUAACGCUCUGUGGACAUUACUCUGACCUGCUGCAUUUAUGUUUUAAUCCGUUAAUCCAUAAUGUAAGCGCGAUAUCCAUGGCUACUAGACAUUAUCGUUACACUAAGAUGAUCAAAAUUUGGAAUUUGACAAUGGUCGUGUCAGACUGUGAAAAUAUUUCUGUUGAACAGUUCACAGUUCUAUCUCAGUCUAUUCAAUUGUUGUCUGCCUUUUCUGUACCGUGUCUGACAGAUUUCCACUUGUUUUACGGUGAAAUCGGCGAGAUUGAUGACGUGCACUAUUUGCAAGUAGACCCAUAUCCCAGAAUUUAUUGGCCAGCCGUUGCCAACUUAAUCGAGAUUUUGAAAGUGUAUCAAUGAUAUACACUGCCCGGAAGUGUUAAAAAAUGCCUGCUUUUUUAG